AGACUCCUACGGGAGGCAGCAGUGGGGAAUAUUGCACAAUGGGCGAAAGCCUGAUGCAGCGACGCCGCGUGAGGGAUGACGGCCUUCGGGUUGUAAACCUCUUUCAGCAGGGAAGAAGCGAAAGUGACGGUACCUGCAGAAGAAGCACCGGCUAACUACGUGCCAGCAGCCGCGGUAAUACGUAGGGUGCGAGCGUUGUCCGGAAUUAUUGGGCGUAAAGAGCUUGUAGGCGGUUUGUCGCGUCUGCCGUGAAAAUCCGAGGCUCAACCUCGGACUUGCGGUGGGUACGGGCAGACUAGAGUGUGGUAGGGGAGACUGGAAUUCCUGGUGUAGCGGUGAAAUGCGCAGAUAUCAGGAGGAACACCGAUGGCGAAGGCAGGUCUCUGGGCCACUACUGACGCUGAGAAGCGAAAGCGUGGGGAGCGAACAGGAUUAGAUACCCUGGUAGUCCACGCCGUAAACGUUGGGAACUAGGUGUGGGUCUCAUUCCACGAGAUCCGUGCCGCAGCUAACGCAUUAAGUUCCCCGCCUGGGGAGUACGGCCGCAAGGCUAAAACUCAAAGGAAUUGACGG
This 573-nucleotide ribosomal RNA is filed under the name uncultured Candidatus Nostocoida sp. RNAcentral describes it as "bacterial SSU rRNA". It matches the Rfam family "Bacterial small subunit ribosomal RNA", at positions 333 to 916 of the family's 1533-position model. The record is from RNAcentral. Lineage: Bacteria; Bacillati; Actinomycetota; Actinomycetes; Micrococcales; Intrasporangiaceae.